Molecule: long non-coding RNA, 369 nt
Filed under: Daucus carota (carrot)
Lineage: Eukaryota; Viridiplantae; Streptophyta; Magnoliopsida; Apiales; Apiaceae
Description: long non-coding RNA (DCAR_LNC004421)
Source: RNAcentral
AGCAGCUUCCCUAUAUGGUGUCCUAAGCUAUUAAUAUAAGGAAUAUGACAUAAAACACAACUCCAGCAGAGUCCUAGCCAUCCCUUAAAAAGUUAGGAUGCCCACUUCAUUCCUCAUUUUUAAGGAUUGUGGAACCAUUCCUCAUACUAUUUUAAAUAAUAAAAUAUUCACUUCUCUCCUUUUUCUUCCUCUUUCCUCCUUUCUCUCUCCUACUUACAAGUUGAAUAUAAUAUUAUAAUAAUAAUAGGGAAUAGAAAUAGGGAAUGUUGUUGGAGUUCCCAUUCAAUAAAAUGUAGUAAUCCCUUAAAAAUUGAAUAUUUUAUUAUAUAUUUAGGGAACAUGUUAAGACUCUGCUGGAGAUGCUCUAAG